Molecule: ribosomal RNA, 484 nt
Filed under: uncultured bacterium
Lineage: Bacteria
Description: partial 16S ribosomal RNA
Rfam family: Bacterial small subunit ribosomal RNA
Source: RNAcentral
AUUGAACGCUGGCGGCAGGCCUAACACAUGCAAGUCGAGCGGAUGAAGGGAGCUUGCUCCUGGAUUCAGCGGCGGACGGGUGAGUAAUGCCUAGGAAUCUGCCUGGUAGUGGGGGAUAACGUCCGGAAACGGGCGCUAAUACUGCCUACGUCCUGCGGGAGAAAGUGGGGGAUCUUCGGACCUCACGCUAUCAGAUGAGCCUAGGUCGGAUUAGCUAGUUGGUGGGGUAAAGGCCUACCAAGGCGAUGAUCCGUUACUGGUCUGAGAGGAUGAUCAGUCACAUGGGAACUUAAACACUGUCCAGACUCCUACGGUAGGCGGCAGUGGGGAAUAUUGGACAAUGGGCGAAAGCCUGAUCCAGCCAUGCCGCGUGUGUGAAGAAGGUCUUCGGAUUGUAAAGCACUUGAAGUUGGGAGGAAGGGCAGUAAGUUAAUACCUUGCUGUUUUGACGUUACCAACAGAAUAAGCACCGGCUAACUUCGUG